AGGGAUUGCCUUAGUAACGGCGAGUGAAGCGGCAACAGCUCAAAUUUGAAAGCUGGCCCUUUCAGGGUCCGCGUUGUAAUUUGUAGAGGAUGAUUCGGCGAGGGCUCCCGCCUAAGUCCCCUGGAACGGGGCGUCAUAGAGGGUGAGAAUCCCGUAUGCGGUGGGCUGCCUUAGCCAUGUGAAUCUCCUUCGACGAGUCGAGUUGUUUGGGAAUGCAGCUCUAAAUGGGAGGUAAAUUUCUUCUAAAGCUAAAUACCGGCCAGAGACCGAUAGCGCACAAGUAGAGUGAUCGAAAGAUGAAAAGCACUUUGGAAAGAGAGUUAAAAAGUACGUGAAAUUGUUGAAAGGGAAGCGCUUGCAACCAGACUUGUCCGCAGUUGCUCAGCCGGUCUCCUGACCGGCGUACUCUUCUGCGGCCAGGCCAGCAUCAGUUCGGGCGGUCGGAUAAAGACCUCGGGAAUGUAGCUCCUCUCGGGGAGUGUUAUAGCCCGGGGUGGAAUGCGGCCAGCCUGGACUGAGGAUCUCGCUUCGGCAAGGAUGCUGGCGUAAUGGUUGUAAGCGGCCCGUCUUGAAACACGGACCAAGGAGUCUAACAUCUAUGCGAGUGUUUGGGUGUCAAACCCAUACGCGUAAUGAAAGUGAACGGAGGUGGGAACCCGCAAGGGUGCACCAUCGGCCGAUCCUGAUGUCUUCGGAUGGAUUUGAGCAAGAGCAUAGCUGUUGGGACCCGAAAGAUGGUGAACUAUGCCUGAAUAGGGUGAAGCCAGAGGAAACUCUGGUGGAGGCUCGCAGCGGUUCUGACGUGCAAAUCGAUCGUCAAAUUUGGGUAUAGGGGCGAAAGACUAAUCGAACCAU
This 855-nucleotide ribosomal RNA is filed under the name Diplodia sapinea. Its description in RNAcentral is "eukaryotic LSU rRNA". It matches the Rfam family "Eukaryotic large subunit ribosomal RNA", at positions 70 to 943 of the family's 3401-position model. Lineage: Eukaryota; Fungi; Ascomycota; Dothideomycetes; Botryosphaeriales; Botryosphaeriaceae. The record is from RNAcentral.